AGCAACAACGGGUGAAAUCUGUACUUAAGUUAAAUUUCUUGUUUAAAGCAUCUUUUAGGUAGUUAAACGACUAGGAUUAGAUACCCUAUUAGUCUAUCCUUAAUUAACCUGGGUAGUAAUAUUAAAACCUAAAGAAUUUGGCGGUUUCUAAACUUACUAGAGGAACCUGUCCCGUAAACGACAAUCCACGAAAAAAUCAACCCAAACUUGUUAUUCAGCUUAUAUACCGUCGUUUAGGGGAUUAAACAAAUAGAUCUCCUUAAGAGCUUAGGCUAAUAAAUCAGAUCAAGGUGUAGCUUAUGUUUGGGUGAGGAUGGGUUACAAUGAAAAUUCAUACGGAACCUUUAUAUUACUGCAAAGGAGAAGGUGGAUUUAGAAGUAAGACCUAACACACUGAAGAAAGCCCUGAGAAAUGUACAC
This 420-nucleotide ribosomal RNA is filed under the name Artemia sinica. RNAcentral's name for it is "partial small subunit ribosomal RNA". The record is from RNAcentral. Lineage: Eukaryota; Metazoa; Arthropoda; Branchiopoda; Anostraca; Artemiidae.